AGAUAAGAAAUGAUUUAUCAUUUAUGAUUUCGGCUCAUACCUAGAUGCUCCUGCAUCCUUAUCUU
This 65-nucleotide transfer RNA is filed under the name Histioteuthis sp. CE-2009. RNAcentral's name for it is "tRNA-Arg". Lineage: Eukaryota; Metazoa; Mollusca; Cephalopoda; Oegopsida; Histioteuthidae. The record is from RNAcentral.